UACAGAGGGUGCAAGCGUUAUUCGGAUUCACUGGGCGUAAAGAGCGCGUAGGCGGUUUAGUAAGUCGGGUGUGAAAUCCCAGAGCUCAACUCUGGAACUGCAUUCGAUACUGCUAGACUAGAGUACAGGAGAGGAGAACGGAAUUCCCGGUGUAGAGGUGAAAUUCGCAGAUAUCGGGAGGAACAACAGAGGCGAAGGCGGUUCUCUGGACUGUAACUGACGCUGAGGCGCGAAAGCGUGGGGAGCAAACAGG
RNAcentral lists this ribosomal RNA (253 nucleotides) under uncultured bacterium. Its description in RNAcentral is "partial 16S ribosomal RNA". It matches the Rfam family "Bacterial small subunit ribosomal RNA", at positions 524 to 776 of the family's 1533-position model. The record is from RNAcentral.